This 254-nucleotide ribosomal RNA is filed under the name uncultured bacterium. Its description in RNAcentral is "partial 16S ribosomal RNA". It matches the Rfam family "Bacterial small subunit ribosomal RNA", at positions 524 to 776 of the family's 1533-position model. The record is from RNAcentral.
CACGUAGGGGGCAAGCGUUGUCCGGAAUCAUUGGGCGUAAAGAGCUCGUAGGCGGCUCAGUAAGUCGGGUGUGAAACCUCCAGGCUCAACCUGGAGACGCCACCCGAUACUGCUGUGGCUAGAGUCCAGUAGGGGAGUGUGGAAUUCCCGGUGUAGCGGUGAAAUGCGCAGAUAUCGGGAGGAACACCAGCGGCGAAGGCGGCACUCUGGGCUGGUACUGACGCUGAUGAGCGAAAGCUAGGGGAGCAAACGGG